CUCUGGAUAGUUCACGUAAAGGCGAUCUGUCUCCUCGUCGUACUGCCACGCCAGCUGGGUGCCGUCGGGAUCAUCUGCCUCUGGGGUACCUGUACCUGCUGGGAGUUUCGGAGGAAUCCGUGAGUCACGGGGACUCAGCAAUCUAAGACCUUGGUGCCAGACCUAGUCAUGUUAAUGGGUAAGGAAGGGAUGAAGUGUUUCCGGCUGCUGCAUCCUAAGAUUGAAUAAGUGGCUAGCUUACGCAAAGGGAAAAAUGACAAUGGUAUAUGCUAACGAUCGAGAACACUUGAUCAGAAAGUGAUCCUGAACACCUACCUACGUCAUACAUAACCCCUCCGUGUUCCCGAUCGAAGAGAGAUCUUCGAAGGGACAGUCACGGUUACGCACUCAGUUGGCAUGUUUAUUAGUUUAUGUUCAAGUUCUCUAAUACCGGAUGUUAACAAAUAUUCCAAGUUGCCACAUAACCGCGGGAACGGCUUUCCGAAAAGAUUAAACCCUGCAGGGGUGCUCCAACUAGUCCAUCACAAACGAACACAGGCCGCAAAGGCAUCCUCUAUCACGAAUCUCGUGAUCUCGUCGGAUUCCUUAGAGGAAAACCUCAACUCUGGGGGAAACCAAAGCUUCACCGGGAUUCCGUGCGCAAGAUACACCGCUAAGGCAAGACAAGACUAGCAGGACCUCCCGACGUGUCGACGACCCUGAUAAGAGUCGCGUAUCUCAGUCUCAGGACACGCCGGAUGAGCGAUGGUUACCACGCCAAAACUCCGAGUUGCCCCGGGGAGCGUAAUAAGCUGCUCUGGUUUGGACCAACACUCAUGAGGAGCACUGGCCCAGGUUGUUGAUUAAGAAACCUCGGGGUAGCUAUUCCCUAUGCAGUUUAUUAUUAAGUGAUUAGCAAAUAGUACCAAUGUUGGGUCCUUCCGGACAAGCCUUAACACUACGCGAUUUAUCAAGGGGGUCCCCAUAACAACCCCGAACGUGUUAGGAGCGAUCAAUAUGGAAUCAAACACCGGUAACCGGUAACUAAGGCGGCAAUAACGGAACAAGACACCCGGCAAAAGGCUAGGCCUCCUGUCAUUUACCAAAUAUAUAGGUACAUUAAAUAAAUAACAGAAAUUAAUAUAAUGAUAUCAAGCUCAUGGCAACUCAUGAGUUAUAAACACCUGCAACUAACAAUGCUAACAUUAGUAGCUGAGCAAGCCUACCUAGCCAUGCAAAUUUGCUAGGAAAGAGUAAGGUGUUUGGGCUCAUGGCAUAUGAAGAGGCUACAUAUCAUCAGUGGUAGGCAGCGAGCAAUAUGACGUGGAAUCGAAACUAACAUAACAAGUCUAGAUAUGGGAUCAAGGUCAUGUCAUCUUGCCUGUGAUAUCCUCAGCUUGGAAUGGUUCUGGAUCGUCCUGCACGUACUCUCCCGACUCCACGUAAUCGGUCUCCGCUCCCGGUGCUACCCAACACAAGAAUGACAGCCAAUGAACAGCAGCACCAAGAAAUGCAACAUUCACAUGAUGCAUGAGAUGAAAGUUGAGCAUGCACCACUAUUUCUAACACUAGCACGAGCACGAAUAACUACAACAAGUUCCUGGACAGAACUUUGCACUAAAAUAUUUGGACAUGCAUGGGAAUGAUAUGAACAGAUGCAUCUCGUAAAAACGGUGCAAAACCAUUUAAAGAACUUUGCAAACGGAGCUACGGAUCAACGGGAAUCAACGAAACCGUUAUGAAGCCCUACGUGAAAGAUUCAUCACCACACACACAAUUGGCACAAAUCUGGUGUUCCCAGGUUUUCAAGACAUAUAUGAACCCAACAUGAAUGAAAUGGAGCAAGGUAGAACACUCCAACAACAAUUAAACGCAAACUUUGAACAAAAUGUCAAAACUACGCAAUCUGCCAGUUUCUGCAUCUUAGCUGUUUGAGAGCAACAUGCAACAUAGCUACAGGUCUUCAAACAAGACAAAUAAUAUAUGUGGAUGUUGCCAACCAAGAAUAAUACCAUCUCCAGCAAGAAUCACAGCAAAAGGAAUUAAACUCUAGAAGAUACAAGGCCACAAACUUUCCCAAAACCAUCAGUUCUCAGGGACUUAGUGAAAAUUCCUGCACCUGAGUUUCUGUUUCUGUUCUGAAGCUUUUUNNNNNNNNNNNNNNNNNNNNNNNNNNNNNNNNNNNNNNNNNNNNNNNNNNNNNNNNNNNNNNNNNNNNNNNNNNNNNNNNNNNNNNNNNNNNNNNNNNNNNNNNNNNNNNNNNNNNNNNNNNNNNNNNNNNNNNNNNNNNNNNNNNNNNACAGGAAGCUUCACAACCAUACCAGGUUCAAAACACUAGCACUGAACUAAGUCCAGUUCCCAACAUAAUGACCAGCACAACCUUAUUUACAGGGGAAGAAAAUGUUUCCAGCACUCCAGACUUAGUGAAAUUUUCAGAGUUCAAAAAUCUGGAAUUUUUCCAGCCACAUGCCCACUUUGUCUAGGCAUAGUUUGCACACCCAUGUCCCCAAGAGGUGUUUGACACCACUAUGGUGUUGAGCACAAACCCCUACAACUAGCACACCAAGACCCAUGCCUUAGGGCUCCUUCUAUACCGUGGGAACAAGGCCCAAACUUUCAACAAAGUGCAUAUGCAAUCCAUAAGGUAUGCUCCUAAGAUGACAAGUAAAUAGGAGAGUUUCAUGUGCACAAUGACAAAGUGACAUGGGGGUUUUAACCCCAUGUUUGUGUCAUGCACAUCAACAACACCAACACCCAUAUCACAAUACUACUAGAUUCAAGCACAAUACAAUAGGAUUCUAAGCUAACAAGAGAGUAUGCACACCUCCACAUAUGGGCAUGUGGUGGUGCACACUCUCACAUGUAUUCCACUUCUUUUACAACAACAUCAUGCCCUUAAACCUAAGGAAAACUAGAGGGGGUAAGAAACUAAGCAAGUAACUUGGUAGCAUCAACUCUCAAACACUUUUAGUAGGUACCACAAGUGGUGUGCACUCACAACAACAUCAUCUCCAUUCCUACGCAUGUUAUGAUGGCAAUGAACACUAGGAUAAGCUCUCACACACAAUUAUAUGUGGUGGGGAGGGCACCCCUUCAUCCACACACUUGCACAAGGCCACCCUCAUGAGGGCAACUAGCACCCACAUGCACUAGACUAGCAAGGCACCCAAGUGAGAGCACCAAUAUAAACACACUCUCACACACAUCACACCUCAAGCACCAUUUACGAGCACCUAGGCCCACACCACUACUACCAUCACAAUACUUCUCCUACUUCCUCAACAAGUGACAUGGAAGGGAGGAACAUAGGCAUGGAUUCACACCACUACUAUCAUCACAAACUACUCCUACACCUCCUACAAUUAACAUGGAAGGGAGAAAUACAUAGGUCAAAAUAUACUCUGAGCUGGACAUGGGGUUGCUCACAUAGCAAGGGAAAAAAAAGACUGCAAAACAGGAAAAAAAAAGAACAAAAGAAAAAGAAAUCUGGGCUGACUGGGAUUCGAACCCCAGCCCCCUGAUACAACAAUACCACAACCCACCACUAUGCUGCUGCUACGGUUGUUAACAAGAGAGGAGGGAAUAGCAAGGUAAGUUGACUGCAUGCCCUGAUACGAAUAAAAUCAAAAACAACCACCAAAAGGCGCCGAGGGGGGGACUCGAACCCACGCCCUCCUACAGGCGCUAGAAUAAGCCAGCACUACACUACCAUCGGGCUACGGAUCGGGAACUGGUUAGAGCAGCAGGUAAAAAUAGUAAAACACUCCUCUCGCGAGAAGUAUCCCGCCGGCGGCCGGAGCCGAGGACGCUGGCGGCGCCACUCCCGGCCACCACCGGCAGGGGAAACCGUCGGCGGGGCCCGCGGGACUCCCGGGGGAUCCAUUUUUGCCCUGAGCACGGGAGAAGGAGCACCCUUGGCUGCCUUGAACUGCAGCGGCGUUCCUGCUACGCUGCAGUUCGCGUGGGAGCACGGGACAGAGAGCUUGACGGGCCUCCCUGCUAGCGCUGCCGCGCUGCACUACCGACGACGAGGGGGGGGUCCCUCUGGUCACGCGCUACCGUCGAGGGAAGGAGGAAGCCCCUGUUACCACCCCUACCUCUAACAGCAACAACUAACACUCGUACUCUGCACGUACACCCAACAACAGCCCCCUGACGAACGCCGGCAGGGAAGACGACGACCUCGCCGCGGAUCGGGACCGGACUGAGGAGGAGGAAGCACUGGGCGGCGGGCCUCACCUUGGGGCGAAGAGGGGGCGCCGCACGGGGCGGAGGACGCCGGAGGCGAAGAAGAGGAGCCGCGCAGUUCGCCCGGUUCGCCCAGAAGACGGGGACGAGCUCGACGGGGGGGGCCGCGCCUCGGGGUCCUAGCGCCGGGAAUGGGACGCGGGGAGCCGCCCCGAGCCCCCGGACAUGGCGCCCAGUGCCGGAGACGACGGAUCGGCGGUUAGACGGAGGAGGCGCUGCACCCUCUCUCUCUGCUUUCUCUCAGAACUUACCAGGGAAGAACGAGGGCACGAGGGAAACUGGCGGCGCUGGGGAGGAAAGGAGAGGGAACCCUAGGGCGGAGGAGGAGGUCUCGGGCUCCUUUUAACGCCUCGGGAGGCGAGCUCGAGC
This 4596-nucleotide long non-coding RNA is filed under the name Hordeum vulgare. Its description in RNAcentral is "long non-coding RNA (HVUL_LNC012903)". Lineage: Eukaryota; Viridiplantae; Streptophyta; Magnoliopsida; Poales; Poaceae. The record is from RNAcentral.